UGGUCACAUGCACACACCUUAUCCUAUCAGGAACAGUGUUACAGCACACGUCCUCAGCAGGGAACUGACGUAAAUAAGUUUUUUUACAUGUGUGUGAAACCGGAGCCUGACCUACUUUUUUAUGUCUAUCAAGAUAUUUCCUGAAUGCCAUAUCUGUCCCGUGGUUUGAUGGCCCAGGUGAUGCGAGCAAUUCGAGUGAGUGAGUUUGGUGGACCUGAGGUGUUGGUGCUGGCUAAAGAUGUCCCCAUUCCAAAACCUGGGAAAUGUCAGGUUUUGAUUAAGGUAGCAGCUGCGGGGAUAAAUCCAGUCGACACCUAUAUCCGAACAGGAAAUCAACCUGUAAAGGCAGCAUUGCCCUAUACUCCUGGCUUGGACGUGUCAGGAAUAGUGGAGGAAUUAGGAGAAGAGGUCACUAAGUUUAAAAAAGGAGACCAUGUAUAUACAGUUUGCACAACCUCUGGUGGGUAUGCUGAGUAUGCUGUGGCUGAUGAAAAAACAACAUUUACACUCCAUGAUAAGUUGGAAUUCACUCAAGGAGCUUGUGUUGGAGUCCCUUACUUCACUGCCUAUAGGGCUCUUGUUAUUGGGGGUGGUGCCAGUCCAGGAAAAACAGUUCUUGUGCAUGGUGCAAGUGGUGGCGUUGGUUUGGCAGCUUGUCAGAUAGCUAAGAACCUGGGUCUGCAGGUUAUAGGUACUGCCAGCACAGCAGAGGGCCUGCAUCUUGUCAAGGAGAAUGGGGCCCACCAUGUUUUCAAUCACAAGGAAGAGGGGCAUCAGGGGAAAAUAAAGGAGGCCACAGAGGGUAAGGGAGUUGAUAUUAUAUUGGAGAUGAUGGCCAAUGUAAACCUGCCUGCUGAUGUAAUGCUUUGCAAGAAACAUUGUCGUAUUAUGGUUAUAGGUAAUCGUGGGGACUGUGAGUUCAACUUCAGCAAACUGAUGACAAAUGAAACUUCUGUUAUUGGAGUCAAGCUUAUGAUGACUGAAGGGCAUGAAUGGGAAAUGAUGGGAAGCUUCAUGUAUGCUGGUAUGGAACAGGGCUGGUUGAAACCAGUUGUACACAGGAAAUAUGACCUGAAGGAUGCACCACAGGCACAUGCAGAUAUCAUCAGCAAUCCAGGAUGCAAGGGAAACCUUGUUCUGCAGAUAUAGUACUGGUGUCAUUCAAAAUAUGGUACGGAUUUUUUUACUUCAUGCCUAAAAGAAUGAGGUAAAAUGGGGUCUUUAGAUGUAGCAUACAUUCAGUGCUACAAGAUGCAGUGCUAUCAGUGUCAAGAUACAGGUGGCCAUGUUCAGUUAUGGAGCCCUGUUCAACAGUCUUGUGUUGCUGUCAUUUCUGCUUGUCACCGGCAUUUACAGCUUUCUGUCCUUCUUGAUGACAGUCUGUCCCACAUGUUUCCAUCCUACAUUAGACACUGACUUCUCUUGGACAUACUUGACAGUUGUAUGAUCACCACGUAUGGCUGGCAGAUGGAUUUAUCGACUUCUGCUUGACACUAGAUGGUGCCUUAAUUUUACUCAUUGUCAAGAAUUUUAAAUAAAUCCUUCACAAAGCCAACAGGAUGGUAAUGCAUGCAAGAGGGAUAAAUUAUCUCCAAAUCUGCAGCAAGUUUCAACAAGCAGGCCAAGGAAUUGCUGAUGUGUUUUUGCAUUCAAAUGCAUGUCCAAAUUGAAACUAACUGCUGAAAAAAAGACAGUUUAAGAUCUUUGUUCUUUUCAAUGCUGAUGGGUGCAGACCCGUGGAGUGGGGAGGGGGAUGUCAUUCACCCCAUUUCCAUAGAUUUUUAGAUCGAUCUAUCCCUGUGGGGAGUCUCACUAGAUUACUGUCAGCUUGG
Molecule: unclassified non-coding RNA, 1832 nt
Filed under: Lingula anatina
Lineage: Eukaryota; Metazoa; Brachiopoda; Lingulata; Lingulida; Lingulidae
Description: zeta-crystallin, transcript variant X2
Source: RNAcentral